Molecule: long non-coding RNA, 701 nt
Organism: Pantherophis guttatus
Lineage: Eukaryota; Metazoa; Chordata; Lepidosauria; Squamata; Colubridae
Source: RefSeq, a predicted model, not a curated record
UUUCGGCGAUAUUAUUAAACGCUGGGUGAGACACCGGGGAGAGAGCCCGUAUCAGCUACCGGAAAUCGAAGCCCUGGCCAUAAAUAUACCACAGGAAGUACCACACGCACUCACACAUCUCUCCCCCCCCCUCAUUGUUACUUGCUUAGCCAGUCUUUGCCGCCACCUCCCACCGCCCCAACACACACACACACACACACACACACACACACACACACAUUGGGGAUCAACCGGUGCCCUCUCCUCCUCGAUCCGCAGACACACACACGCACUCCCUGCGAUUAAGAAAGAUACGAAAAAGGCUCCCUCGCCACUAGGAGAUGGUCCUGGCGGGCCAGUGCCAAAUUCACGUUAAGGAAAGGUUCCCUGGUCCAAUGGAACAGCAGAGACCCCUUGAAGAUUUCGGUGUUAAGAGUGUCUUCAUCCAGACCGCUAUUGAGGUCCCAGGUAAAGAUGCAGAUAAUAAAGUGCUCUUCAGUCACCUGAGUUCCCUCCAAGGCAGAUGAUAAGGUUGAAUGGAUUUUACACACUCUGAGGAUGUCUUUGGAAGUGUUGAACUUGGGGGGGAAAUCCCUAUUUUAACUAUGGCAUACUUAAGGCUAUAUUAUGGCCACUUCAGAGAUCAUCCACUCAGCGGUUAUUUUUGGCAAGGAAAGAAAAUAUAAAAUGUAUAAGAAAAUAAAAAUACUAUGAGUUUGUCA